RNAcentral lists this ribosomal RNA (398 nucleotides) under uncultured bacterium. RNAcentral describes it as "partial 16S ribosomal RNA". It matches the Rfam family "Bacterial small subunit ribosomal RNA", at positions 338 to 733 of the family's 1533-position model. The record is from RNAcentral.
CCUACGGGAGGCAGCAGUGAGGAAUAUUGGUCAAUGGGCGCGAGCCUGAACCAGCCAAGUCGCGUGAGGGAAGACGGUUCUAUGGAUUGUAAACUUCUUUUGUAGGGGAGCAAAAGUCGCCACGCGUGGCGUUCUGAGAGUAGCCGAAGAAAAAGCAUCGGCUAACGCCGUGCCAGCAGCCGCGGUAAUACUGAGGAUGCGAGCGUUAUCCGGAUUUAUUGGGUUUAAAGGGUGCGUAGGUGGGAAAUCAAGUUAGCGGUGAAAAUGGAGGGGUUAACCCUUAGCGGGCCGUUGAAACUGGUUUUCUUGAGUGAGUGAGAGGUAUGCGGAAUGCGUGGUGUAGCGGUGAAAUGCAUAGAUAUCACGCAGAACUCCGAUUGCGAAGGCAGCAUACUGGC